CAGCAGCCGCGGGAAUACGAAGGGUGCAAGCGUUACUCGGAAUUACUGGGCGUAAAGCGUGCGUAGGUGGUGGUUUAAGUCCGUUGUGAAAGCCCUGGGCUCAACCUGGGAAUUGCAGUGGAUACUGGGUCACUAGAGUGUGGUAGAGGAUAGUGGAAUUUCCGGUGUAGCAGUGAAAUGCGUAGAGAUCGGAAGGAACAUCUGUGGCGAAGGCGACUAUCUGGGCCAACGCUGACACUGAGGCACGAAAGCGUGGGGAGCAAACAGGAUUAGAUACCCCAGUAGUCCCUGUCUCUUAUAC
Molecule: ribosomal RNA, 301 nt
Filed under: uncultured bacterium
Lineage: Bacteria
Description: partial 16S ribosomal RNA
Rfam family: Bacterial small subunit ribosomal RNA
Source: RNAcentral